RNAcentral lists this ribosomal RNA (383 nucleotides) under uncultured bacterium. RNAcentral's name for it is "bacterial SSU rRNA". It matches the Rfam family "Bacterial small subunit ribosomal RNA", at positions 30 to 412 of the family's 1533-position model. The record is from RNAcentral.
AUUGAACGCUGGCGGCAUGCCUUACACAUGCAAGUCGAACGGCAGCACGGGUGCUUGCACCUGGUGGCGAGUGGCGAACGGGUGAGUAAUACAUCGGAACGUACCUUAUCGUGGGGAUAACGCAGCGAAAGUUGCGCUAAUACCGCAUACGCCCUGAGGGGGAAAGCGGGGGACCGUAAGGCCUCGCGCGAUUAGAGCGGCCGAUGUCUGAUUAGCUUGUUGGUGAGGUAAAAGCUCACCAAGGCGAUGAUCAGUAGCUGGUCUGAGAGGACGAUCAGCCACACUGGGACUGAGACACGGCCCAGACUCCUACGGGAGGCAGCAGUGGGGAAUUUUGGACAAUGGGGGCAACCCUGAUCCAGCAAUGCCGCGUGAGUGAAGAA